This 28214-nucleotide long non-coding RNA is filed under the name Eucalyptus grandis. RNAcentral's name for it is "long non-coding RNA (EGRA_LNC006819)". The record is from RNAcentral. Lineage: Eukaryota; Viridiplantae; Streptophyta; Magnoliopsida; Myrtales; Myrtaceae.
GCUCGCCCCGGAUCGUCCGGCUCCAUAAGCCGGUCUCCCGCUUCGGCUCGGCUUUGUUUGACUCGCCACUCCUCCUCCUCCUCGUCACUUCCACGAAUCAUCGAAGCACGAGAAGGAGAACAAGGCGCCCCGCCUUCGACGCUUGAUAUUCGCCAUUGCAGCCUUCUUAGAAUCCCGGAGAAAACUGCCUUUUUAUUUAUUUUUAACUAUUAACAUAAAUUUUUUAGUUUUUCAGUUCCAAAAUUAUCCUUAUCUUCUUCAACAAAGAGUUUAAUGUUUUUUAAUAAAAAAGAAAAAUGAAAUCCAAACGCCCUUAUAAAAAAGGAUUCACCAAACAUCCUUUACGCCAAAAUAAUUUUACAAAUAAUUUUUUAUCGGAUGCAAAUUGUAUUUCUCCAAAACUCUUUAGGCUAAAGAUAUUUAUAUUUUUCCAAGGCCCAUUCCCAAGGCUAAACCAAACGCAGCCUGAAAGGGUUUUGUGUGGUUCUAUAGGUUCUUGUUGUUCACUUCUUUCUUGAAUGCCAUUUCCCGUGUAGAAGAGAAUUCAAAAGUUAAGACUGAUGCGAAUAAAUGGGUAAAAAAAAAGUUGUUUCCCACUGAAUCUUUGAGUUUGCUAAUGCUGAUGGACUGAAAUACGGGCAAAUUCAAAUGCAGCUUUAUCUUAGCUUGUGUAUAUUAACACCACAAAUGAACCGGGGAUUUUGUUCCUUUUUUGUGUGCUAGCAUCAGUCGCUGAACUAAAGUAAUUACAAAAUCAUGCAAGAUAGAAGGAAUAAGGCUUCUUUCCUAACAUGAGAAAGAAGGGUUUGAUGUAGAACAAAUGAGAAGGGGUUGUUAGAACUGGAUUGUGUACUCCGAGUAAAGAUGCAGAAAAUUAUAGUGGUUCUGGGUCGUCUAUUAACCGUAGAAGGUCUUGUAACUAUAGAAUACCGUAAUUUUAGAUGGCCGUUGCCUUCUGGGCUUUGUUGUGGUGUUACUUUGUAGAAAUUUUGCUUUGAUGACCAUGGACAUGUAGUACUUUGGGAAUUUCAGAUCCAAUUCUAGGUAAUUUGCAGGAAAAAUUAAGUGAUGCUUUUGAUUCAAGAGGCAAAAUAUGAGUCCAUUAACUCGGGUAUUUGAUGCUGUAGUGAUAGUAUUUUCAGUUAAACUCAUUUUUCUUUCCUCUGCUGGUCUGGUUUCUAGUAAAGGAUAGGGCAUCUUAUGAUUGAGUACAGAACUGUAUGGCCUUUUGCCCCAUUCAUAAAUUUUAACUUACCAAGUUACCAUCUAGAAUUAUAGUAAUCCCAUCCUAAGACCUACUCAUGUUCUAUAACCACAUUUAAACUAUUAUUUUAUUUUAUUCUUUUAGAUUCACCUUUAAUUGCUGCCUUUUUAGUCCUUUAGCUCUCCGAUUUCAUGUAUAAACCAUUGUUCGAUGGUCUGGGAGAUGCCUAUCUUAUGAUUACCAAAAACAGAGAUCCAAAACAGUUCUUGGCCAGGAAAAAGGAUUUGUGUUCAAAUUUUCUUUUUUCCAGUUUCAGUUAAAACUUUCAGUUCAGUUUCUCCCCCAACAUUAUCGUUUUUCUUCGGCUUUGAAAAGAUGCUCCAGCAUCAAGCAACGUACAUAUCUAUGUAGCAGUCAUGCUGGCUUCCAUGAUCAAUUCUUCUUGCGUUGGUAUAUUUAUCCAAUGGUUGUCCUUACUUCAUCUGUUUAUCCACCAAAAUUAUAUGUUUCCUCAUUUGACUUUUAUCUUUUUGUUUUUCUUUUCUUUUUUUCUCUCCCCCAGAUGCGUCUUUUCAUGACACAAUUGGAAUAUGCUGAUCGACUUGCUGCUGCUGGAAGUCUCCAUCCUAUUACCUUAUCCUGGUAUAUCUCCUUCUGGAUCGAUGGCCAUUUGAACCUCUAGCUUUGUUCCAGAGGGGUGCACAUUCAGUUAUUAAGAUAUGUAAUUAUAAGCUUAGGUAAUUUAGAUCUCCAACUCAGUCCGCCUAGUGAAUUUGAAAAGGAAAUUUGAGUGUGUGGCGGAACCCUGUCCUUGCCAUGUGGGAUGAACCUUUCUGAAUUUGUCAUAUUGAGCAUAUAUUUGAAAAUGCUUAGUGCUGAAUCUCUCUUUCAUCCAACAUUUAGUAAAUUUACUAUCUUGCUUGGAAUAUCGAUUGGAAAGAGUCAAUCCAUUCGAGUGAGAAUAUUAUACCCCAUCAAAUAAUGGUAGUAAUUCUCAUAUAUUGUGUUUUUAUGGUAAGUCAAGAAGUACUAAUGGUGGACCCAUUACAUUAUUUGGUUAGUCUUGUCUUUGGGUGGCUUUAUUGUGCUGCUGUCCACUGGGAGGAGUAGCUUCUGAGAGGAUUCACACUUAAAUGAUGUUAGUAAUUCCUAUGUAUUGUGUUUAAUAAUUGCUACAACGAGUUUUAAUGGGGGCCUGUUUCAUUUUUUGGUUGGUUUGGUCUUUGGAUGGCCUUGACAUGUAUACGUGUUUCCUAUGCUUCUGUCCUUUUGGAAGGAGCAGCUUGUGAGUAAUGACUAAGAAGUACCUUUAUGAUGCUAUAGUUUAAGAGAGCAUUGGUUUGAUAUAUGUCGGCUUUAGAUCACAUAUGUUUAUAGCUCAUGCGUCUCCCUAAAAAGAAAGUUCGAAGUUUUAGGACUAUACCCAGAGAGACCUUCUGUCCUAUACGGUUUCGGAAUCCCCUCAACUAAGCCCUUUGCAAAGCUGGGCUGCGUUUGGACCCGAACCUUGACAGCUUCAAAGGGACAUAAUAGAGCCACGUUUGCGAAUACCUGAGCAGAAGCGCUGCUUAGAAAUAAUAUGAGACUCCUGUUGUGGUCAACCAACAAAUCAGAGUAAAGUUCUUGAAGUACUCGUAGAGACCGAAUUUACAGCCGCCCUGGAUGCCGUAUCCAAACAACUUGCCGGACCAACCUCUCCAAAGAGAAGAAGGCCCUUGCUCUUUCCAGAGAACUGAUAAUCCCGAUGCCAUGCUGUUAUAUUUAAUCGGAUUAACCUGGAGCAUACUAAUUAACUUUGGCUAUCAGAUGGGAAGUUAUAGAGUCUGGAGGACACCGCUAAAAUAGAUUAAGGGAGCCGAUUGGCACCAGAGUGAUACCGCUAAAAUGCCUAAGGCUAUCACAUGGCUGACCUCAUAAUGCACUACUUAGAUUCAGUUAACUUGAGGUUUUCCUUUUCAUUUCUCCAUGAUGGAAAGAGCAUAGAUGUGAGAAAUGACACCAUCCCACUUCCAUUGAUACAAGAGAAGAAUUUAGACCUUACUCUGUCACGGUAAUGGUACAGUAUGAAAUCCUUUGCAUUAAGCUACAAACGUGUACGAAAAUGGUAUCUUCCAUAGAUUUUAGGCCGGACACUGAAUGAAAGUCCACACCCCCUUCUCGUGUAACUUACACAGAGGCACACGCACAAGAGAAAAUAACAAAAAACGAGAAUCAUGCAAUCCAUGUGAAGUGGAGCGUAAGAAAGAGGCAAAUUGGGUCUCGUCAGCAAUAAAGCACAAAAGAAAUGGAUGAGCAAUUGUUUCGCCAUGCAAUAUUGGUUCAGCAUCAGAAGGUACAGGGGAUCACAAUGUUGUUGCAAAGCUACAGGAAUGCUGACAUUUGGAAAGGCACUAAUACAAAUUAAUCAAGCAAAUGCCUUGUCAAGCAAAGUUUCUCGUCGAGCUUAUUUGGGUACAACACAGCAAGAGCCAAACAUGCAACCGCGAAACCAGAGCAUUGUUACUGCAAUGUACUUAAAAAGAAAUACUAAUUCUGAAUUUGGCAAGUGACUUCCUUAGUUUCAAAAUAUGGAAGAAGAGAUCUAAGUGGAAGUGCUCUCCAACUGAACAGAAUGACAUAUAAUGUCGUGUUGGGAUUACUUUUAUACUCCUUUUUUGAGCGGGUGAGAUGAUGUCCAAACCAGAUUCUGAGCACCUCAACUGGGUUUAUUUUAUUAGGCAAAUUUCAGAGCGCAUUCCUUGAUGUCGCCCCAAUGCAUUUUGGUUUUCCACUCUUGGAAUGCUCUCAAAAAGACCUGAUGCAUUUGGGGUGCACUCCUCCAUAUCGACCCAGAACGUCCUUACUCAUGAUAAACUAAAAUUGUGGUUGCCUCCCAUUUUUGAUAUAAUCAACAUGGUAUUUUUUAUUUAUUUUUUAAUUUAUAUGUAUUUAUUAAAUAAAGGGAUAUGCGUUUGAUACAACCUAAUCCACUAAUUACUUUACAGGAUUUUACUUUGGCAAUGCUCUAAAAAAACCUUGAAUCCAAAAUCACAAAGAGAUAGCAAACUCUUUUACAUUUAGGCUUUUGGGAAGACCAUCUAAUUCUCCAGAAAGAAAUAAUGUAAACCCUCUUAUUGUUUUUACUAGACCAACAUAUCCCCCCCGUAGAUAAGCCAAUCCAUGGAUCCAUUCUGUAAUAGUAGGGAUCAACCAAGAUGAGCCCAUUAGUCCACGUCUUGCUCUCGUUGCUUGGAAACCGUCGGUUCUGUUUGCUUGUCUUAUUAUACUUGCAACAGACAAAAGACUUAGGAAAAAGAGUCGAUGGUGUGACAAACUUCAACCUUUGCACAGCGGAGAAACUCGACUGCUCCGUACAAAAGGUUUGGUAAGAAAAGAAACAACUCUCUCUGCGAACAGGAGGAUGGGGUAAAACCGUGUUGACGUCACAUGUUCUUCUGUUUUAUCCCUUAAGCAUUGAGAACGUGGCAAAUAUUCAUAAGAUAUCUCAAGGAAUAUACUUUCUCGUGAUUAGACCCUUCCCUUAUGUCGUCUGUUGAAUUUGAAAAGGAAAAUAUUGAGUGUGUGGUGGAACCCUUUCCUUGCCGUGGGGGAGGAACCUUUCUGAACUUGUCAUAUUAAGCAUAUAUUUGAAAAUGCUCAGUGCUGCAUCUCUCUUUCAUCCAACUUCUAGCAAAUUUACUAUCUUGCUUGAAAUAUCAAUUGGGAGGAGUCAAUUUGUCGAGUGAUAAUGUAAUCCAUUAAAUGAUGGCAAUAUUUCAUAAUAUGUGUUUUUUUGGUAGUCAAGAAGUACAAAUGGUGGAUCCAUUACAUAUUUGGUUAGCUUGUCUUUGGAUGGUUUUACUGUCUUGCCGUCCUUUUGGAGGAGUAGCUUAUGAGAGGAUUCACACUUAAAUGAUGCUAGUAAUUUUCAUUUUUAUUGUGUUUAAUAAAAUGAGCCAAGAAGUUCUAAUGGGGGACUUGUUUCAUUUUUCAGUUGGUUUGGUCUUUGGAUAGUCUUGUCAUGUAUGUUAAAUUAGUGUCUCGAAUUUGAAUUUGGAUAAUAAUUUGUUAAAUCGAAUUUUAUCGAGAAAGAUUUUUUCAAGCAGAUUACAAAUCGGAUGAAGAAAUCUUUUAUCUUAUUGGAUAUAUUUUUGGAUGUGAAAAAAUCACUACAAGAAAAAAGAGUAAAUAUAUGAGAUAAAAGAAAAAUGAAGAAAAAGGAAGGUUUUCUUCCCCUUACUUGCAGCGUACGAAUCCAAGGAAAGAGACAUGGGGCCAAAGUCAAAGUCUUUACAGUCUUGACCUUGGGCACUAAGACCCCGUUUGGUUCAGCAUUUGGGAAAAAGCUUUUCCAAAAUGCAAAUGUCUUUAGCUCAAAGAGCUUUGAGGGAAUGUUAGACUGUUUGGUAAACUAUAACUGGAAAGUGCUUUGGGGAAAUGCAAGACGGUUUGAUAAAUAUAUACUUGAAAAGCUCUUUGGUGUGAUCAAAUUAAAAUUUUUACUUUUAAUAUUUUAAAAAUUGCAAAAAAGAAAUAAUGACUAUAUAACAUUUUACAUUUUCAAGUUGAGAGUAAUGUAAAAGAUACAUAUUAGUAAAUUUAUUUAAAAAUUAUAUUAAAAGAAUUUGAUUAUAGAUUAAUCAACUUUUGGCCUGGGGUUCUUUUAGGUUUGUUUUCAACUUUGAAUAUUUUUUUAAAUUAUUACAGUAUUAAUCAUUUUCAUUAAUUAAUGAUCAUUUUAGUGUAUUGAUAAAAAGUUGGGUUAUUAAUUGUUAAAAGAUAAAAAUGAUAUAAAAAAAAAAGAUGAACUUAUUCGGUGGACGAUGAAGCGACCGAUUGUGGAUGCUAAUUUUUUUGAAUAAGCACUGCAUAUAAAAAUGGAGGUCAUCAUUAAGAAAAAUAAAACAAAGUUCCUCUCAUACAAAUUUGACUAGAAAGAGUCAUUUCAUGAUAGUACACAUGGUCAUAUAUGUCCGAAAAAAAGAAAUAUGUUAUACUUAAUAUUACAAACCUCAAUGAUUUUGUAAACUUAUGGCUAUUUCAUCACGUAAAUGUGCCAUGUCUGAAGAUGCAUACGGAUUUGAAGCACCCACCCCUUCAUUUGCAUCCUCAUGGUCAACUGAAUAUUCAUAAUUGAGAUCCAAUUAUGCUUGUUCAAAAUCCGUAUCAGUCACGUUAUUUCUCCGUAUAUAAUUGUGCAAAGUCAUUGCCGCUACCACAAUUUGCACUUGCUUUUCAUAUGGAUAACUUGGCAUAUGAGUUAAAAUCCCCCACUUCUGUUUUAAUACACCAAAGGCUCGCUCAAUUGCCGAGCGUAACGAGGAAUGGGCACGGUUGAACACUUCUCGAUAUCCCGUAGGUGAAGGACCUCCUCGAAACUCUGGCAAAUGAUAUCUAACUUCUUUAUAUGGCCCCAAAUAACCAAUCAGAUUUGGAUAUCCAGCAUCUACUAAGUAAUAUUUACCUAUAUAAAUAUAUUAUAAAUUUAAUCAACAUAUGCCAAUUAGAUUUAUGAAUGUAUCUAAACCAUUGAAUAACAUACCUGGAGGAGGAUGGGGAAAAUGUGCAUCACGUCUUCUAAUAGCUUCAUAAAAGAUACGGGUAUCAUGAGCUUGUCCCUCCCAACCGGCCCAAACAUAGACAAAUUCCAUAUUAAAAUUACAUAUGGCUAACACGUUUUGAGUUGUUGUUCAUUUUCGACCAAUAAAACGAAUUUAAUCAAACGCAGGUACAACCGCUGGAAUAUGUGUACCGUCAAUAGCUCCAAUACAAUCCUUAAAAUAUUGAUAAAAUCGUCGAUCUUUUUUUAUAUUCUCUGGAACUUUUCUAUAUUGUGGAUCGGUUGGUUGGAUUAAAUCUUUUCCCCUAUCACAUACUUUAUCUAAAACUAAGCUGAAGUGUCUACUGAUGGUUUCUUCGAAGCGUUGAAAACGCUAUUGUGCUAAUCUAUUACCUAUACUAUGUCCUAGAACAUGAAGAAACAUACCAACCAUUUCUCUAACAUUGGUAUUCCUAGAUCCUCGAAGGCCAUAACGUGUUACUAAAUCAUGCGUUAAAUUGUUAAAUACAAUCUUAUGCAUUCUAAACAUAUUGUAGCACCUUAUCGGAUUAGCAUCUUCGCUAAUCAACUCUUUUAACUAUACAUAACCCGUAUAUGUUGAGGUCAUGUAAGGUUGUUUGCAAAGGUUGGUCGCUUGAUAAAGAAUUGCGACUUCAGUGACCGAGAUAAGAUCACGUAAUUUAUUUUCUUCUUGCUCAUAAUUUUCCUUUGUAUGUGAAUAAUCCAUAACUGCUUCAAGUAACAAAAUAUAAAGAAAAAUAAUGUAUUAACCAUCACAUAUAUGCAAACUAUCACAUUAAGAGAACACCAAAUGAAAACCAUUCUAACAUCAAACAUUAAUUGAAAUUAGGUUCACAAUAAUUGCAAAUAAAGAUCCAUAGAUGGAAACAAAGUGGAAUGACUAAACUUUAAAUAUUAAAACAAUAAGAUGCUAACAUCCUAUCCACGAAGACUUGAUUCUUUUCUCGACUCAUAUUUGAGAUACUUUAUUUUCUUUGCAUUAUCCUUUAAGCUCAUGAAAACUUGCCUAUUGUCUAUCUUUUCCUUUAAAUGAGAAAUUGCAAAAAAGUACAAGUCUUCGUCUUCCACAAUCUCAGGAAUGGAAUCCAAUAUCUCUAUGAGAUCCUCAUAAGGACCGACUAAACUGGUUGCUUUGGAUGCAACACUAGCAGUGCUCAUACUCUCAACAACUGUAAGUAGCCUGUUAAUCUGUGUUCCGAGCUCCUCUCUUGUGUUCAAUUUCUUAUCUUUUUUUCCUCGAGCUUGCAUCUUUGAAGUCUGUGCGGCUUUCUUACGAGUUUGAGUUCCAGUUGGUUCAACAAUGGUUUCAUCCACAUGAUCCUCAAAGUUUUCAUCAGUUAGACCCUACAAUAUCAUCGAUACCAGGUUGUGUGGUCUCCAUAUCAUUAUCAACACAUAAACCUUGUGCAGGAUUCAAUGUGAUUCCUCCAGUAGCAACUGUAUCUCUGAAUAUCAUAUCUAACUUUACUUCAAGAUCAGGAUGUAUGUCUUUCAUCCUAAAAGCCUUAAACUUUGGAUUAGCCUGUUGUCAUGAAGCAUUUGCAUAAGUUAUAUUAUUAAAGGUGAGCUUAACAUGAAAGUAAAAAAAGAGUGAGGAAAACCUGAAUUUUACUCUCCCACCAUUCGUUACUCGCAUUAGUGGUUUUCUUCUUUGAAUCUCAUCCUAAUCCAGUUUCAUUGUAAAGCAAUGACUUCCAUCUUUUCCAAUCUUCCUUGAGGUUAUCCCACUUACUCUUCAUUUUAUGUUUAUCAUACUUUUUGCCCGUUAGCUCAUCAAACUUACUAAUUAUGACUGUCUAUCCAUCUCUUUUGUUGUUUGCAGGACGAUUGGCUUUUUCAAUUUGUUCGAUGCAUAACUUACAAAAGAUUUCUACAUCUUCCGAGCUCCAAAAUGCCUUUUUCUUUGAUGAACUCAUUUACUAGUAAAGAACAAAUUUAAGAGACACAAACAAACAAUAUCAACCACUCAAGCCCUCUCUUAUUAAAAAACUAGAUAUUCACUUAAAGAAAAGAAAACUAACAUUGAGAAAAAAUAAGGACACAUAAAAACAUUAUACUUAAAAACAAAGUAGGAUGUCAAUGUGGAGGAACUAUAUAUCUCGCAUGAGCUGAAUCCACCUCAAUUGAUCUUCCCCGAUACACAUACGUGGAGUUUGUUGCUUAAUAUAUCUUACGCACUUACUAUCUCAAACAGAACAAUUGCCAUAUAAGAUAAUCAUAAGAUACACAUACGUGGAGUUUUUCAUUUGUUUAUUCAUUUGCUUUAAUUACAACAAUAAAUUAAACCAUCAAGGAGUCAUGUUGAGCAUUUCGUUAUUGUUUCUAAGUUAUCUCUCCUGUAAUUCGGGCAAAAUGAAACCAAGACGUGGGUGUCAAAUAGGUAGGUGUUUUUUUAUGACCAUAUAUCAUCUUGCAAACCAAAACAGAGAAUAUUGCUGCUCUCACCCUAUUCUAUUUCCCUAAAGUAGAUAACACACUUUAACUUUUUGAACUGUAGGGAAUAGGACACAUUACCUUUCAUGGGUGCUCUAACUUUGGAUUAUAUCGAAUUGUGCAAAUUCCUUUCACUUGAAAUGUGCUUGAUAUAUUUUAAUAAAGUACCAGUUAAACUGGCAUGUCAAGACUGCAACCUUGAAAUUCCUAUGCCCUCCCCAAACAAAUAAAAGAACUACCUAGGAAAUAGUUCACUUAGAGACAUUACUUUACCUAGACAAGAGUAUAUAGAGACUUUCACAUAAUUACUGAAUAGAUACUAUAAUUUACUUGCCCAAAGCUGUUCUUACAAUGCAUUCAUAUGGCAGACCUGUUAUAGCAACAUGUUUAAGAGGCAUGAUCAUGCUGAAAGUAUUGAUGAUAUCACAUAUUUUGCCUUAAAAAGGAGAAUCUGUCAGCUCCAAUUACCAUUAUUUCAGUGGCAAAACUAACUUUACUUUGGAAUUGCCAUAAACAUCUUAAUUCAUAGUAGGACCUUGUUACAAUUUCUUCGGUCAAAAGUCCGCAACUUCUUCAAAAAGUAAUUCACAGAAUCAGCACAAUCAAUCAGAACCGCACAAGUAAAAUUGCAGCGCCAAAAUUUUCCCCUCUCAUCACGCCAAAUCUGAUAAAGCCGAUCAGCAAUCAUAUAUGGCCCCAUAUCAAGCCAUGCCGCACAAACACCCAAUGCUACCGAUACUCCGGCAUAAUCAAACUCGCCACUCGGAAAACAGUUUCCCACUCAAAAAAUUUCUAAAAAGACCUACACAACUGAUCCAAUCCCGAAACACACCCACCAGCACAUAAACUACCGAAACGCAUGCAUGCAAAGAGGGGGGAAACAAAAACCCUCCUUCCCUAGAACACACAGACAAGAAAAAAAAAAACUCUGAACAAGUCAAAAAAGCACAGAGCUUGCACCUGGUCUGCUGCUUCCUUCUUCCUCCCCUUUGCUUCAGCGUCCCCACGGAUGCGACUCUAAAUCCUGUCAAUUAGGAAAACACGCGAUCGAAGUCAAGACCUGGGUCUCUCUCUCUCCCUCAUCGGGCGAAAACAAGAAAACAUUAAAUACCCAGCGAAGCGGGGAGGGGCAAGAACGACAACACCAGAAAAACAGAAUCAUACCCACGAAUUGAAAUUGAACAAACACCCAGACGGACAAACAAGAAUAGGGGGAGAAAAGAGAGAGGGAUCGCUAUUGCAGAGUGGCAACCGAAGAGAGAGAGAGAGAGAGAGAGAGAGAGAGAGAGAGAGAGAGAGAGUGUGUGUGUGUGUGUGUGUGUGUGUUUAGAGAAACCGAAAUGAGAUUGCAAAGGAAAAAUCCAGCAGAUCUAGAAAACUAGAGAGAGAGAGAGAGCUGAUUUGGGGACCCGAGAAACCCUAGGGAUCAAACCCAGAGCGAGGGAUGAAAUCGAAUGAUCUCUUGCUCUUCGCGGAGGCAACAACACAGAGAGAGACGAUAGGAGAAAUCAACUCAGCAGAAUCGCAUUCCACAAGGGAAGUCUUCUUCUCAAGGAGGUCCACUCACCCGGGGAUCGAACCGAGAGGGCGUCGGCCUUGUGAUCAGCAAACCCGUGCGGCGCCUCGAGGGAGAGAGAGAGAGAGAGAUGAGGACGACUGGUUGCGAGAGUGGAGGCGAUGCUGCGAGAAUCGGCGAGAGCGGACGUGCGAAGAAGAAAAGAGCGGUCGAGAAAGGUAGGGUUGAGAAAGGUAGGGUUAUGUUUUGUAUGGGAUAAAAUGGGACUUUUAAUAAAAUUUUGAGGGCAAAAUGGGCAAUAAGAAAAAAUUCAUUAACCCUCCCACCAGCAUCCCGAAAAUGCUGAAAUGCCAAAAGCCGGUCCCCACCAGCUUUGGGCUUUCAGCAUUUUACAAGCAAGCAUUUUGGCAAGGAGCCUUCAAAUGCUGAACCAAACGGGGUUAGUUUUUUCCCAAGGGGCUUUGGGGGUUCAAAGCCCCUUGGGAAAGCUGAACCAAACGGGGCCUAAAAGCCAAAAGGGACGUGAAGCCUUUUGCACGUCCACGUCGCCUAAGAGUGGAGCCACGAAAAGAAAAGCUGGAGAGCGCUGCGUGACGAAAGAAACGUGACGGAAAAAAAAAAAAAAAGGCAAGAGCCGCAGGUCCAGGAGAAGAGUGACGCCCCACGUAGCUUUGAACAAAAAAUGAACAAAAACGUGAAUCCAUACGUAUGCAGACCAAAGAUGAACGCUGGAGUUCUUGAAUUUGGCGUACGUAGAGCGUUUUAUUUUAAGCUUGAAUAUGCGGUAAUUUUGUAUAGUGAGUUUAUGUUCAAGUGAAUUAUUUAUUUAUAAAUACUUUAGAUUUUGGGUUAAAUUUAAGUGUGGGAAACACUCGAGCGUGUCAAUUAUAAACUUUGAUUAUCUGAUUAUAGUGGAUUAUUUGCUACUGGCUCUCCCGUGGAUGUAGGUAUUGAUACUUGAAUUGAACUACGUAAAUUUAUAGUAUAUUUAUUAUUUCUCGUUUAUUUCUCUAGUGAUUUUGUGUUGACGUAAAUUGCAAGAUUCUGUCAUUUCUGCAUAUUAUAUUUCAACAAUGUAUAUGUGUUCCCUAUGCUUCUGUCCUUUCGGAAGGAGGAGCUUGUGAGCAAUGACUACGAAAUACCUUUAUGAUGCUAUAGUUAAUGAAAAUGAGAAUGAGAGAGAGAGAGAGAGAGAGAGAGAGAGAGAGAGUACUUUUAUGAUGCUAUAGUUUAUUUUACCAUGGAUUCAAGUUUGAAGCUUCGUUGAUUUAUCUUUGUAGAAAUCCUUUACCGAUCUGAUUUCUUUCCUAGACUGGGAUGGAUGUUGAUCAGAUCCACAUGGAAUGAAUUAUCCCCAGAGUGGUCUAAGGCAUAUCCUUAUGGUUUGAUAUAUGUCGGUUUUAAAUCACAUAUGUUUAUACCUUGUGUCUCCCUCAAUUUUCUUUGACGACGCUAACUUUCUUGGAUGACUGGUCGAGGCUACGGGAGAACCACAAAAAGUUGACAAUUUAUUCGGCCCGAAGUGUUUAGAACUUAUAAUUUUGGUGAGAAUGCAAGUGGAUCAUUUCAGUCCUCUACAGUUACUUUGCAAGUUUUGCAUGUAUCUCAUCUAGUUGUAAAUUUAUCACUGAUUAUUCAUGCUAUGCUCAUGGUAGAGGGCUUCUAAUGGCACUCUUUCGCAUUGUCCUUGCUUGUAUUAAUGUUUCUGCAGUUGGAUACUUUCUUUCUCUCUUACUCACACAAUGUUAUGAUGCUUUCUCCCAUGUUCUAGGAUUGUGUUCCGAGGAUAGCAUAUGAAGGAGUAGUAAUUGUAGAAAAUUUAUUCACAUAAACAAUUAAUCAAUCAUGAAAAACGGAUCCAUACAUGAUUGUAAAAAAUUUAUUCACAUAAACAACUAAUCAAUCAUGAAAAACGGAUUCAUAUAUGAUUGUAAAACAUCGAUCAAUAAAUACAGCGGAAUUAAAGUGUACAUUUUUGAGCCAUUGCUUUGCUUGAAGAAAAGUAGAUCACCCUAAUAAUCAGGAAUCUAUUGGAAUGCCAGAUCUUCAUUUCUAUGAGCUAUUUCGAUAUAGCAGCUUUCAAUGGGAUUAAAGCAACUGAUAAGUAUAACUUACCUUUUUAUACACUGAACCUAGCAAACCCUAAUCAACAGCGUGUCAAUUGGGCCAUUCCCAUUACAAGCUUCAGUCAAACACAAUUACCUACACUUUGCUACUCAACCAGGCCCGUUAUCAAUAGGUGCCAAUACCCAAUUCAAUCAGAUCACUGUAGGGUUCGACAAAUAUUUGAAUAUCCAUUAACCCGAUUAUUUAAAAUAGAAAAUCAAUUAAUUAAUGUAAGCCCAUAUAAUAGGAAAUUUCCAAUAGUAAUCUCCCGGUAUCCACCACCAAGAUGUGUUUCUAGUGAAUCCGAAUUCUUUCGGGCUGCUUGGGAUCAAAGGUACGACGCUGGUAAAUCAUGGUCAUACUAGCUUAACAAAUCUUGUUGCUCCCGAAGGUGCGUUUUCUUCUGUCCCGACCGAAAGAAAGGUGCUUUUCCACUUGGGUGGGUCGGAGCAGGGAGGACUAAAAUGUAAGUGAGCCUUACGGGGCGGUGGUUGUUAAAAGUAGGGAAUUCACGUCCGUCUCUAUAUACAAAUACGUCAUGUCUGGCUGCAUUGUCCCUCAUAAUUCGCAUGAAUCCAUUAGCAAAUCUUCCAGAGAAGUCAGUGACGGGGGCACGCUAGUGCACCAUUGGUCGUUUCUUCUGCAAAAGAGCCCCUAGACGUUCAAUUUCUAGAGUUUGAUGAAUCCCAAGCAGCAGAUAGCAUAUAUUUAAAGAGGUCCUUUUGCUUAUUAAAUUGUGUGAAUCAUUAAAAAAAAAAAGGAAAAAAAGAAAGAAAAAAAGGAGAUGCUAUAGGAGAGUCAAUAAUCUUUACCGACGCACCGUGCUCAUAUCCAUUGGUUUUUAGCCGUAGAGUAUCAUAAUUUUUUGUGUGGACAAGAUCUAUGAUCGUGUAAGCACAACAAUUCAUUAAUUCACGCAUCCCAUCAUAUCUUUCGGCUUAGUUUGUGAACGGGAAUUAAGGAACGCCCAUUUCUCAUCCGCUUGUCCCCGUGUGAAUUCGUUGUCCGUUGGAUCAGAAUGUUCGUACCUUCAUUUUUUGACAUUGACAGGAGAGAAUUAAUAAGCGGUCUACGCAUGUAUACAAUGAAUGGAUAAGUACUUUGUUUUUGGUCAGUGACUCAGUGGAUAAGUACUUUGUUAGUGGAUUAAUAAAUUAUUGAGCUGGGAUAUUCCAUCUGCCUAAAUUAUUCCCCUCAGGAUAAGAACGGCCCCACUUGAGGAAUGUACUAGAGUUUUCUCGGAGUUUCCUCUACUGGGCUGUCGUCUCUAGCCGUCAACCUGCUAUAAAGAUUUGGAAAAAGAGUACUCUUUCUUUAUUGAGAAAAGAGAAGGGGGCAUUAAAAGAAAAUGUCUCCUGUGCAGCAGCAGCCGCAGCAGCUGCUCCUCGGCCUCCUCCUCGCCUCCGUGGUAUUCGCGACCGUCUCCCGGGCCGCCGGCGACGUCGGCACGGCUGCUUAUUACAGCUCUCCGUACACGCGUAAGUCCUUGACCCCGGAAAAACAAGAAGGGAGGAUUAGAAAAGAGAGAGGAGCUUGCUAAAUCCCGUUCUUUUCUUGCUGUUGGUUUAGCGACGGAAUGCUACAGAGAUGACCCGUCCCAGCUUCCUCCGAGCAACAUGUUCGCGGCGGCGGGCGGUGAGCUGUGGGACAACGGGGCGGCCUGCGGCCGCGUGUACGCUGUGUGGUGCGUCGGUGCGUCUCAGUCCGUCCCUUCCAACUGCGCGAGCGACCUCCCAAUUGAGGUCAAGAUCAUCGACAACGCCUUCUCGGCGGAUUCCUCGGCCGCAGCGUACAAGCAGUCCGUGACCGGCGCCGCGUUGGUCCUGUCCGAGGACGCGUUCAAUGCUAUCGCUAAGCCAUUCGCGGAUUCCAUCGAUAUCAAAUUCCAAGUGUAAGGAAUGAUUCUUCUUCUUCUUCUUCUUCUUCAGUCGCCCUGUUCAGAUUGAAAUGCAGAGAGAGAGAAGGGCGGGGGGGGGGGGGGGGGAGUUGGAGGAGACGAUGCUACAGUGGCUUUUGACGUUUGAGGGGUUUGGGUGUUGUUGUGGUUGGGUGCACAGCCACUUCGGCAGCAACGCAGAUUUUUUUUAAUGUCAUCUUUUGUGUACGUGUAGGGUUUGAUUCUGGAGAGAUGCGAUUGUGCAUCUGAAGUAUCAACUUUGCCAGCAACAAAUUAGUAGAACUCAAUUAUGCAGUCUUAUAUCAAUUGCAUUCACUAUCUACUCAUGUGAAUAACUGUAAUUGUUAUUGUUUUUGUCCAUGACAUUUCCUCCGUUGAAAUAAAAAGCUAUCUCCGGGUCUCCCUAUUCAACUCCAAAGUGAUUACCAAAUUCAUAAGAUUGAGGAAUUUUAUAAUUAGAAUGGAAUGAUGAUAUGUAUGUGUGGAGGAAUAUGUAUAGUCAAUUUCUUUGCCUUGCGAUAUGGAAUGCUUUACCCAGGCAAAUUAGUUAUGGGAACAUACAUUUCUAGGGGCAAAGCAUUAUUGUGGAAAUAUAAAUUUCAAAGGUAGUGCACGGGGUACACAUAGUAGAUGAACUUUUGUCAUGUGGACUGGUGACAAACAGCGCCUGCAGGACAACAUCGGUGAGUUGACAGGUUUCUAGGAUAUCCAGUUCUGACGGUCGGUCCAAGAAUUUUUCGUAAAACAUAAAGCCCAGCUUGGAAUAUUCUAUAGGCUUAUCUAUUCUGCUUAGGCCGCUAAACUUCAAAAAGUAGAAGCAAAAAGGACAUCACUCUGUCCAAUUGGAUGAGGACAAGGUGGUUGCUAACAAAUCAAGCCAACUUGUUUAAUGAUUACUAAGUCAUUAGGGAAGCGAUCAAACAAUCAAAAGCGCUGAAGUCACAGAACCUAUGAUUGCCGCCAUACCUAGAGGACCAACUGUUUAUCCAACAGAAGGUACUCCUAUGCCAAUUGUUGUACCAACUGUUUAUUCCCUCGCUCUCUCUCCCCCUGCAUGGGCGGGUCGGAGCAGGAAGGACUAAAACGUAAGAGAGCUACAUAGCGCUGGUUGUCGAAAGUGGGAAUUCACGUCUAUCUCCGUAUACAAACACGUCUUACCAAGCCAAAUCCCGCUAAGAGGAACUUCUAGUCAUGUGUUUGUGUUGUGAAAGUGAAAUGACAAGCUAGGGUUUCGGCAUGUCCGUAAGCAAAUUUUCUACGGAAGUCCUAAUAGGAGCAUGCUAUUGCAUUAUUGGUUGUUCCUUUUGCAAAGGAGCUUCUAGAUGUUCAAUUUCCGAAGUUCGAUGAAUCUGAAACGGUAGGUUUACAUAUUUAAAAAGUCUUUAUUGAGUAACCUUAUUAAAUUGGGUGAAUCACAAAUAAAAAAAAGAGUAAAAGAAGAUAUUAUUGGAAAGCUGACAACUUUUAUCGACGUGUCAUUUUUAUAUCCAUUAGUUUUUAGCUAUAAAAUAUCAUAAUUUUCGUGUUGACAAUAUUAAUGAUUGUAUUUGUAAUAGCUGAGGAGGACUGGGAGUUGAGCAGUCAAAGAGUAAAAAAAAGAAAAAGAAAAGAAAACGACUGAGAGCCGCAUAAAAGAAAGGAGGGGUUCGUCUUUUGAACAGUGACAGCGAGGAAAGACAUGCAAAAAAAGAGAAAAUGGGUUGAAAAGUCAGCAACAGCAGAAAAAAGGAGGCUAGUCUAAAUAAAAGACCGACAGCUAAAGGAAAGGAGCCAAAAAAAGAAGAAAGAAAGAGGAAUCAGGAAAAGAGAAAGGGCUUUUGCAUCCAUGAUAGGUCUCGUCAAGUAAAUUCAACUAUGUAAGGCAACACUCAAUAAGUAUUUGCGCCUCUCAUUUGUCGAUCGAGAUAAUUUUCAAAUUUAUGGCUUAAAUUCAGAAUUUUGGAGGGGAUUAUGUCAUUGUAGAGCCAUGGGAUUUGAUGAAGGUUGAUUUGAAGCAAUAGUUUUGUUUGAGCGAAAUUUUAGGGUUUCGAGAUUGAGUUUCGUGUGCUUUUAGUUAUUUCGUAAUUCAUGUAGAGUUUUGUUGAGUUUAACGCUAAUUCUUGUUGAUUGCAAGAUCAUUGGCUCAUUUAGUUACGUGAUUCCCAGAUAAGUGGUACCAUCUCCCUUGAAUUUGUAAAACUUAUAUUUGGAAAAUGCUACGAAUAAUCGCAUGUUUCAUUGCAUAAGAACCAAAUCGAGCAUUUACCACUCUUUGGUUGUUUACAAAUUUUUAGAAAUCGUGCUAUGUAAGGUAUUAUAAAAUAAUUUUUUUUGUAAAACCUUUGCAACUAGUUUAUGAUAGGGUUUAUAAAUGAUUUAAGAAAUGAUUGAGAAGUGGCGGAUGGGCUGCGUUGUAAAAAUUUAUUUGCUUGAUUUAUGAGACAUUUUAAAUUUGGAUUUAUGGUAUUAGAGGAUGGUUGUUUUAUGCUCAAUAUAACUAUGAAUUCGGUGAGGGGUUUGUGCGAAUGCAUACCGAUUUAGGAUAUUUUUCUAGGUUGAAUCGCUAGCUUUGUAAGUGGAAACUUUAUUAAUGAGGAAUUUUGAUUGCCUUAUCACCAUAUGUUAUGUCGUGAUCAUGAUUUGAUAUUGAACAAUAAAUUGGUCGAUGAAAUGGAUUAUCAACGUGCAAUAGAAUAAACCAUUGAUAUGUAAAUUAUCAAGAUUUAUCAAUGGAUUGGACAAUUGACGCUAUUGUUUUAAUAUUGUUGAGUAGAUGAGUAUAUUUGACUUCUAAAAAGCUUUGUUGAAAUGAAACAAUGCAUAUAUGAUUCGAUAAAUUGUUUAAUCUACUUAAAAGAUAUAUACACUAUUCACUGGGUUAUGAUUGUUUAUUGCAUUCAUUUUUUGUAUUUUUAAGUCGUAGAGGGUUAGCAUUAUUUAUGGGGAUUUUGAGAGUUAAAUUUCGGUGGUUCAAAGUUGCGUCCUUUGAGGGGUGGACAGUCAUGUCAUUAUCCUAUCUGAAUUCAGGGUGUGACCGUAUUAGGACCACGAUUUAUUAGUUAAUUCAGGGGUGCCUUAUUUUUUCUCCAGCCUCGUUUGACAAAGGGAAUAAAGGAAAGCAUCUCUCAUCCGCUUCUCUCCGUGGGACCAGAGCCUCUGUUCCUGCAUUUUCAACGUGGAGAGAACCAUUUGGAUAAAGGAUAAUCUAGCUAUAAGUCCAACGAGGGAGUCAACUGAGGGAGUGACGUCAUCACGAUGACAGAACUAUUUGGAUAAAGGAUAAUCUAGCUAUAAGUCCAACGAGCAAGUCAACUAAGGGAGUGGUUGAAAAAAAAAACUAAGGGAGUGACGUCAUUAGGUGAGAACGGGCCCCACCAUUGGGAAUGUACUAGGGCUUUCUUUAUUGGGCUGUCUUCUCGGCCCGACACCCCGCUGCAAAGAUCGGGCAAAAAGGCAUUCUUCUUGAUCUAAAACAGUGCCUUCUGCACAGCAGCAGCAACUGCUCCUCAGCCUCCUCCUCGCCUCCGAGAUCUUGUCGAUCGUCUCCGGUGCCGCUGGCGGCGACAGCAUGGCUGCUUAUUACAGCUCUUCGUACACGCAUAAGUCCUUGACCUAGAGAAAAAAAAAAAAAAGAGGGAGGAUCAAAAAGAGAGAGGAGCUUGCUAAAUCCCGUUUAUUCUUGCUAUGGGUUUAGCGAGGGAAUGCUACGGCGAUGACCCGUGACAGCUUCCUCCGAGCAACCUGUUCAUCAUCUUCUUCAUCAUUGUAGGCGACGACAUGGGGUUACAAUGUCUUCUUACAUUCAGCAAUGAACAUGAAAAUCAAAGCUCAAGCAAGCGAAAAAGUGGGAAUUCACGUCUAUCUCUAUAUACAAAUACGUCAUGUCCGGCUGUGUUCCCCCUCAUAAUUCGCAUGAAUCCAUUAGCAAAUCUUCUAGAGAAGUCAGUGACAAGCGUACGCUAGUGUACCAUUAGUCGUUCUUUCUACAAAAAAGCCCCUAGACGUUCAAUUUCCAGAGUUCAAUGAAUCCCGAACAGCAGAAGGAGAAGCAGAAGGCAGAAGCAGAAGGAGGAGGAGGAGGAGGAGGAGGAGGAGGAGGAGGAGGAGGAGGAGGAGGAGGAGGAGGAGGAACAGCAGAAGGAGGAGAAGGAGAAGCAUAAGGAGAAGGAGGAGAAUGAGAAGGAGCAGAAGAAGGAGAAGAAGGAGAAGGAGAAGAAGAAGGAGAAGGAGAUGUUAUUGGAGAGCCAAUAAUCUUUAUGGACGCGUCAUGCUCAUAUCCAUUGGUUUUAAUUGUAGAAUAUCAUAAUUUUUUGCGUGGACAGAUCUAUGAUGUAUAGCACAACGAUUAUAAUCAUGAGUCCCUCGUGUUUUCGGUUUAGUCAUGAAUGGGAAUUAAGGAACGCAUUUCUCAUCCACUUCUCCCCGUGUGAAUUUGUUGUCCGUCUCAAGUAGGAGUUACAAACCCUAACAAAUUGUGUAAGCCAAACUCAAGAAUCUAGUAGGGAGUGGCUCUUAAAGGAGGAAAUUGAAACCUUAUGGAGAAGAGAGGAGAUGUUCUGGGGUUAAGAUCUUGAGUCAAUUGGCUAAGGUGGGGAGAUAAAAAUACGAAAUAUUUUCAUACAGCUACUAUCCAAAGGAGACUAAAAAACAGAAUUACUAUGCUGAAUAAUUCAUUUGAGCAUUGGAUAAGGGAUACGCAACAACUUCAGAACCUCACAAUUUCUUUCUUCAAAGACUUGUACACUUCAAUAGGGCUCAGGAAUUGUCAACCGGUAUUGGAUCAAUGCCCCACAAUAGUUGGGAAUGAUAUAAAUGAAUGACUGGUGGCAGAAAUAACUUUGGAAGAAGUUCAUGAUGUUGUUUUUCAACUUGGUGCACAAAAAGCUCCUAAUCCAAAUGGCUUAAAUGAGAUUUUCUUUCAACACCAUUGGGUUAUAAUCGGUAGGGACAUUUUUGAAGAAGUUGGGGUUAUUUUCAGUCAAGGGAAUUGGAACCAGCCCUUAAUAGAACCCAUAUAACCUUAAUUCCGAAGAUACCCAAUCUAGAAAAACUUGACCAAUUUCGCCCUAUUAGCCUUUGCAACUUCACAUACAAGAUUAUAUCUAAGAUUAUGGCAAAAAGACUUAAAAAAUGGUUGCUGGUGCUAAUUUCAAGGGAACAAAGUGCCUUUGUCAGUGGAAGACAGAUCCAUGAUAAUAUAUAUAUUGUACAAGAGGUGCUACACUAGCUGCGAAUGAGGACAAGGAAAAAAAAUUUCCAAGAGGUGCUGAAAUUAAACAUGAAGAAAGCCUAUGAUAUAAUAGAAUGAGAUUUCCUAGAAGGAUACUUACUGAAAAUGGGUUUCUACGAAAAAUGGGUUAAGUGGAUUAUGCAAUGUGUUACAACAAUCUCUUUCAGCAUCAAAUUCAAUGGAACCCCUUCCUUAUUUUAACCCUUCCAAAGGUAUUAGACAAGGGGACUCGUUAUUACCCUAUCUCUUUAUCUUGGUGGCAAAUUGUUUGUCUUCUUUAAUGGAAAAAGCUCUAAAUGAUGGGAGUAUAAAAUGAAUCAAGUUAAAUAGGCACCUUGACCCAUUUAUUAUUUGUGGAUGACUCUAUAUUUUUUCUAGAUGGGUCCAUACAAGAAUGUCAAAAUGUCUUAACUUUGCUAAAUCAAUACCGUUAUGCCUUAGGACAAGUAGUAAAUUUAAACAAAUUAGGUAUUUUUUUUUUUUCAGUAAAGAUUGCCCUCAAGUAUUAAGGGAUAAUAUGGCUAGAGAAUUGAGAGUUCCAAAGCUAGAUCGGACAAGAAAAUACUUAGGAAUCCCCUCUGAUUGGGGAGCCUCAAAGAGACAGAUGUUUGCAUGGAUUUUGGAAAAGGCAAACAUGAAAUUGGAAAGCUGAAAUGAACAAAUUAUAUCAAAGGCAGGCAAGGAGAUCUUCCUAAAAUCAGUGGUGCAGGCAUUACCACAAUAUGCUAUGUUAGUUUUUAAAAUCCUGGUAUUAGUUUGUAAAGCAAUUGAGAAGAAAAUAGCCAACUUCUAGUGGAAAAACAAUGAAACAAGAACUUGUUUGCAUUGGAAGAAAUGAGAAAUUAUGAAAUCUAGGAAAGAUAGGGGAGGAAUGGGUUUCAAGGAUCUACUUAUUGUAAACAAGGCCCUCUUGGAUAAACAAGCUUGGAUAUUGGUUAAAAAUCCAGAUUCGUUAUGGAGCAAAUUACUCAAAGGACUCUAUUUCUAUCAAAAAGACUUUUGGCAUGCUGAGAAAGGAGCCAAGCCUUCAUGGGGAUGGUGAAGUCUGCUUAUAGGAAGAGAGGUCAUAUCAAACUCAGUGAGGUGGUCAAUUGGAAAUGGACAAAAAAUCUACAUCAGAACAGACAAAUGGCUAAAGAGAGGAUUGAUUGGGGGGCUGGCAAACAAAAAUGAUCUACAAAAAGUUUCCGAAUUGAUGAACUUUGCAAUGAAACAAUGGAAUGAGCAACUUAUAAAUAAUCUCUUUGAUGAACAGACUACCCAGGAGAUCCUUGCAAUUCCAAUUAAUAGGUUGAUUUCAAAUGAUGAACUGGUAUGGACAGGGACAAAGAAUGGGUCAUUUACAGUAAAAAAUGGCUACAACACAUCAAGAGAACAGAUGACAACCAAGGUAGCAACUGAACACCCUUCUUCUUCCUACCAAGCACCAAGAACACUAUGGACUGUUAUAUGGAACAUGAAGAUCAGCCCUAAAGUUAAAAUAUUUAUCUGGAAUGUCUACCAAAACGCCAUCCCAUCCAAGGAUAAUUUAUGGAAAAGAAAGAUCUUACUUAACCUCGUUUGUGACCUUUGCCAAGAAAGGGUGGAAACGGCCGAGCACAUCUUCCUCCUCUGCCCGUGGACUGCACAAGUAUGGAACAAUCCGGAAGUAAAAAUUCAGAUAAGUAUACAAGAGGUUACCCGAAUCAAUGCGUAGUUGACGUUUUUUAUAAGGAAAAACACUCACUUACCAUCCUUGGAAGCGAUUCAAACAUCAUUUGGCAAAUUUGGAAAGCGCGAAAUAACCUUAUUUUUCAAGGAAGGAAGUCGGAUGCCUGCAACAUAGUAGGUCUGGAUCGGUUUCAGCAAAGAAGCUAUGAGAAAUGGGUCUGUCAACACCCUCAAGCAAGAAAAUUAGAGGAAAAUGACAUACCUCAAAUAUGGGUAGCUCCAGAGACGGGGACAAUGAAGAUCAACAUUGACGGGUCAGUAAGUGAGGGCUCAACAGAAGGAGCUAUAUCCGGCAUCAUUCGCGACUCCUCUAGUUGACUCAUCGAUGGUUUUACUAGGAUAGUUUGAGUGGCUUCAGUCGCUCAACUGGAAACCCUAGCUCUGGUAGAAGCUUUGAAGUAUGUCAAGAAGAUGUAGAUGGGUGCUGUUUCUGUAGAGUUCGACUACCAAAGCCUGAUAUGAUCUCCAAAAGAAGUAGAAGACUUUAACUGGGAUGCACGUGGUCUCUAGUUAGAGUGCAGAGAGUUGCUAUAGAAUCUACCACUUGUGGGCCUUCAUUUCUGUCAAAGAAUUGCUAAUGGAGUAGCGGAUUGGGCCGUGCUCGAGUAUAGAGAAAAAAAUGUUACUGCCCAAUUGGCUUUUAUAUCCUCCUCUGGCCCUUUGGGCCUUACUAUGUCAUGCCGCCCCACUUUUGGGAGCCACUGGUUCUGCAUUAGUUUUGAUCUAAAUAAAUAAAACUUUGUUUUUAACCAAAAAAAAAAAUUUCAUUAUCUGUUGGGUCAUAAUCUCCGUACAUUCUUUUCUUGACAUUGACAAGCGAGAUUUGGUAAUGGGUACAUGCAUGCAUACGAUGAGUGUAUUAGUAAUUGUUAGUGGAUUAAUAAUUUAUUGAGCUGGGAUUUUCCAUGUGCCUAAUUCUCCUUAUUAGGAUAAGAAUGGCCCCACUUGAGGGAAUGUACUAGAGUUUUUUCGAGUUUCCUUUAUUGGGUUGUCGUCUCCACCUCUCAGCUGGCUAUAAGAUUUGGAAAAUGAGUAUUCUUUCUUUAUCGAGAGAAUGGGAAAUAACAUUAAAAGAAAGAGAAAAGACCACAAAGACCCUAAACUUUACUCAAAGUGACAUAUUUACCCUAAACUUUUUUUUGUGACAUGAAAAAUCCCAAAAUUUGCAAACCGUGACACAUUUACCCCACUAAAGGUAUUUUCGUCUUAUUUUUUUAUGUUUUUUCUUUUUCUUUUUUUUCCUUCUUCUCUCUUCCCUCCGCCGACCAUGGUAAAGCUGGCGGAGGGAAGUCGGAGUCAACUGAGGGUUGCCCUAGCCAGCCUAGGUGACGGUCCCUCGCUUGCGUUGGGUGAGGGGUGCCCUUGCCAGAUCUGGUGAGGGAGGCCCUCGUCGGACCCAACCAAGGGCUGCCCUCACCUGACGCCAGCAAGGGCAAUCCUCACCCUUGCCUGACUUUGGCUUCCCUCCACUAGCUCCACCAUGGCCGAUGGAGGGAAGAGAGAAGAAAAAGAAGAAAAAAUUUUAAAAGUAAAAGACUAAAAUGCCCUAUAAUUUAGAAUAAAUGUGUCAAACAAAUAUAAAUUCAGGAUUUUUUGUGCCACGAAAUUUUUUUUUGGGUAAAUAUGUCAAGGUUAGUCAAGUUUAGGGUUUUUCAUGUCAUAAAAAAAGUUUUAAGUAAAUUUGUCACUUUGAGCAAAAUUUGAAGUUUUUGGUGGUCUUUUUCCUAAAAGAAAUUACUCAUGUGCAACAGUUGCAGCAACUACUCCUUAGCCUCCUCCUUGUCUCCAUGGUAUUCGUGACCAUCUCCGAGGCCGUCAGUGACAUUGGCACAACUACUUAUUACAGCUCUCCGUACACGUGUAAGUCCUUGACCCCAAAAAAAGAAGAAAGGGAGGAUUAGAAAAGAGAGAGGAGCUUGCUAAUUCCCAUUCUUUCCUUGCUUUUGGUUUAGCGACGGAAUGCUAUAGAGAUGAUCCAUAUAGAAAAUGGAAUGCCGACAUGUAUUUGGAGGAAAAUGUAAUGAAUAUGCAUAUUCACUUGCUCCAUCUUGUGAUGUGGAAUGGUUCAUCCGGACAAUUGGUUAUAGGAACAUACAUUUCAAGUUGGGGGGGGGGGGGUUGUUCUAGAAAUAUAAAUUUCAAGGAAGUGCAUGGGGUAGACAUAAUUAAUGAAACAUUGCCUAGUGGGCUAGUGAUAAACGGCACCUGUAGGACAACAUUGGUGAGCCAACAACUUUCUAGGAUUUCCAAUUCCAACACAAGGCCUAAGAUUUUUUUGUAAAAUAUAAAGUCGACAUUGGAGUAUUCUGCUUAGUCAAGAUUUCUAAGCAAACUUGUUUAAUAUUUUUCACUUUUCAGGAUGAAGAAAAAAUUUUACUCUCUCAGUUUUUCUUAUCUCACCCCAAUUUUAACCUUUCCAUCUUUCUUUUAUUCUUUUUUUUUUCCAUUUUUAAAAAAUUCGAAUUUUUAAUUAUUAGUCUUUUUUUUUCUUUUUUCACUUCUAUCUUGGCUUAGGUGAGCUCAAAGCUCACCGAGCUCUACAAAAUUGCGGCUCACCAAAUCGGCAAGCUCGAGGCUAGCCCAUUCAACAAUGAGCCAAGCGUGUGGCCAGCUAAGGCUCAAGACCUGCCCAAUCGACGGUAAGCUAGGGCUCGAGCUAGUAGUUUGAAGGCCUGCCACUUGCUUGGCUCACCAAUUUGGCAAGGCUCAAGGCCUCUAGCUUGAGCUUCGCUAGAUCGGCGAGCUAAACUAGCCGAAGAAGAAGAUAAAAGGAAAGAAAAGAUAAUAAAAAUAAAAAUAUAUUCUUUUAAAAAUAAAAAAUAAAAUAAAAAAUUAUUGAAAAAGAUGGAGGAAAAUAAUUUUUUUUUUAUCGAACAUCAUAAUACAUUUUCCAUUUCAUUUUCAAGUUUUAGGCGAAUACUGACAAAUAAUUAUAUUUUCUUAGAAAAUGACUUUUUAAGAAAUAUUUUUUAGAAACGCCAUAUUUUUCAAGAAAUGAAAGGGCCUAAAGGAGGAGUCAGGCUUAUUGUGUGAUAUUCCGAUUUUCCAAUUCUAUUUUCAAUAAAUUGAGACGGGCAUUUCGUUGGCACGCAUAUAGUUCUCCUCCUUGAGUCGACUACUCAUGUGAAAACUAGUCUAUCGGGUAAGCCGUUAAGAAAUUCUAAUGCAUCAGACUUGAGAAUUUGACUAGGAAGCGAUCUUUCGGCCAAGCUAAUUUGUAAGAGUCAUUAUGGCACAAUUUAAAAAUCGAUUAGAGAUCGGAGAUAGGUCGACUCAACAGAGGCAUGUGAUCAGGUGUGGGUGAUUUCAUCAGAUCGCACAAUUCUUGUCGAUCGGCACUGGACCGACUUUUCUGUCGAUUGGGUAUCCCGUGUUCGUAUUUGAAACCUUGAGAUUACCCCGACAACCGAAAUUCAUCAAUGUUUCAAAGAUGUACAUUGUGGCUUGAGAUGAUCAACCACAUGUCAAAUGCAUGAAAAUUUCUAAAGGCUACCCGGUAGGUUGGGCCGUGCUAGUAACGUGCCAAAGUGAAAUUAACCGUGGAAUUGAGAUCGAAUUCAGAAAUUGGAAGUCUGGGUGUGUCACAAAUCAUUUUAGGAAUAUUGACUCGUCUUUGGAAGAUUUUUUAUGCAAGCCGAGUUUUUCGACAAAAUAAUUAAGGUAUGGUUAAUUUGGCUCGAGAAAUUAGUAGGCCCGCCCUUAGUUGUGCUUUUGGGACUUAAGUUGGUUUUAUGGACAAGUGAAGAUGUGAAUUGAAGUAUAGUGACAUUGGAUUAAUUUUAUGGACUUCAAUUUGGUUCAAUUGGAAGAGAAUUGAAUGGAUUUGAAGAAAUUAAUGUACAACAUUUCAUGCCUCGGCGGAAAAUGAAAUUGAACCUAUUGGAAUAAGGUUAUGGGAGUUGGGAGAUAGUGGAAGAUGACAUCACCUUAUGUCAUGGUGGUUGAAGCCAAGUGAUGAGAGCUUGACAAGUGGAGGGUGGAGAUUUAAUCUCAAAAAGCCACCAAUCAACAUCAUCUUCAAACUUGGGAAGAGAGAGAGAGGGGGGAGGAGCUGCUCGUGCGACCAGCCAACCGGAUGCCACCCCUUCGCCGCUCAAUGCCGCCAACUUCGUCGGAGAAGCUCGCCGCCGCCGUCGUUCGUGCGCGUCGCCCGCGCACCGCGCCCGCUCGUCGUCGCACCACCCCUGUCGCCUCCAGCCUUCGUCCGCGCGACCCCGAGCCUCCAGCCCUCCGUCCAGCUGCUGUUCGGAGCCGCCGCAUGUCGUCAGAAGCCCCACCUAGCCGCCGUGAGUCACCGCCCGAGUUGCCACCGCCUAUCUCCGUUGAGUUCACGCUCGAACCGCCGCCGUGCAGCCCUUCGUCGGCCUCAACCAGCAGCCAAGAAAAUGGGUAUGGCAGCCCAGUCUUGGCCCGUUUUGGCCGCCUUCCCGAGCUCGGAUGCUCGGCUCGACUUGAGGAAAGUCGAUCCUCGCGUCGUUCUUGUCGUUUUGGUCCGCUUAGCUCACUAAUCCGGUGAGUUUAGCUCACUAAACCUCGCUUAGAGGGUUAAUUAUGCUUAGGGAGGUUUAGUUUAUGUUAAGUAUUAUUAGGUUAUUAGUUUAGGUUAUUUAAGAGUAGAUUAGAUUAAGGUGGUGUUUUAAUUUAAAGUGUGUUUAAUUAAGGGUAAGUAGGUUUAUUUAGAAUAAGCCUUGAUUUGACAUAAAUGAAUUUACUUUUGAUUUUAUUUAAAUGUCUCAAAAUUAUUAAAUAAUUUAAUAAUAUAUUAUUAUUGGAAAUUAUUAAAAUAUUAUUAUUUAAUUAUUUCCGGAAUAAAUUUAAUUAUUUAUUAAAUUCCAAAAAUUUUGUUAGGACCCCAAAUUGUUAGAAUUUCGUGCCGGUCGCUGCUGUGUAGUCAGAUUUUGAAAUUGAUGGUUGGAUAUUAUAAAUUAAGUGUGGAUCGUGAAAAAUAUGGAUAUUAUUAUUUAAUUAAUUUUCAAAAUAAAUUUAAUUAUUUAAUUAAUUUUCAAAAUAAAUUUAAUUAUUUAAUAAAUUUCGAAAAUUAUUUUGGGACCUUAUUUUCUUAGAAUUUCGUGUUGAUCACUACUGUGCAUUUAGAAUUUGAAUUUGAUGAAUGGAUGUGGCAAAUGGAGUGUGAUUGCGAUAAAUAGAGAUUCUUUUUAUAAAAUCUCAAGUGUGAUGGAAGAGCGACCGUAUUUGACCACCUAUUAGAGGUUAUGUCCAGUGGGGCCGUGAUUGACCACUUAUUAAAAGUUGUGCCCAGUGGAGCUGUGAUUGACCACCUAUUAAAGGUUGUGCCCAGUGGGGCUAUGAUUGACUACCUAUUAGAGGUCGUGCCCAUCGGGCCGAGAUCUACCACCUAAUUAAAAGUCGUGCCGAGUAGGGCCGUGAUUGCCACUGGUUGUUAAACCUUCCUAUAAGGUCGUGAUUGGAAACAACGAUUGAUUUGCUAGAAUGACAUAUAAUCGGCCGAGUUGAUUGAUCGCUGAGAUGAUCCAAGUGGUUGAAUUGUUAUGAUAAUGUGAUUGUGCCAUAGUUGUUUGGUUAUCAUAAUUGCACGUGGUUGAAUUAUAUAAAUUGUGCUAACCUACAAAUGAAGACUAAUGCGAGGUAAGUGUUCUGUGUGAUGUGGCUAGGCUACUAGGAGCGUAUUUUCUUUCUAAUAGGGGUUUAGGGGUAGAACUUGUUGAGACAUUGUCUCAUCCUGAUUGUGGGAUUAAAAUUUCAAGUUCCUGGUGGACGGAGUGGCUAGAUAGCUUUGGUUGGCAUUGGGGAGUUGCAGAGGUAAAGUCAUGAGGAUUAAAGAACGUGUCCGACUUGUAGGUCGUAGGACAAUUUAUUUUUAAGAUCCGGUCUUUUGUAGACCUUUGGCUAUAGUUAUGAAAGUGUUAUGGUGUGAAUUUGUUUUCUGUUUUUCUAUCUUGUAUUUUAUUGUCAAGGACUUUAUAAUAUGUUCUGUUUGCGCAAUAAAAAAUGAAUGGGGUCGGCGAUAUUAUCUGGAAAUGUUGCGUUGCAUGACCAUGGUAGGAUGUUGGCGCGCUCGAGGUUGGGGUGUGACAAACCGGGCUGACCCUUGAGAAAUGCUCCACCUAAGAAAAUCUCGGAUCGGGUCGGACUCGAGGGCUCAGAACCGCGCUACGCCGGCGAAGAAUAGCAAAAGCGUCGUCUCCAAACAGCCUUCGGCCGGCUCGCGCCGAUCGUCCUUCUCCAUAAGCCGGUCUCUCGACUCGGCUCGGCUUUGCUCGACUCGCCACUCCUCGUCGUCGUCGACCUCGUCGUCGUCGCUUCCACGGAUCAUCAAACCACCCCACCGUCCGCGCUUGCGAUUCGCCAUUAAACCCUUCUAAAAAAUCCUCAAGCUCCUCUCGCUAGCUCGACCUGAUCCGUGCUUUCCCAGCCGGCCAUGUUCGGUGCUCCCCACGCCUUCCCCGCCGCGUGAUCUUCAGCUGCUACGGCGAUUCCCCCCGCCGCUUCCGGAGAGAUGAUGGUGAACAAGUUCCUCUGCGACUUCCGGUUCCUCCUCCUCGCCGCGGCGGUGGCGUUCAUCUACAUACAGGUGAUUCCUUAGUCCCGAUUCCCUUG